This 897-nucleotide ribosomal RNA is filed under the name uncultured bacterium. RNAcentral describes it as "bacterial SSU rRNA". It matches the Rfam family "Bacterial small subunit ribosomal RNA", at positions 28 to 921 of the family's 1533-position model. The record is from RNAcentral.
GAUGAACGCUAGCGGCAGGCCUAACACAUGCAAGUCGAGGGGUAACAGGAGGAAGCUUGCUUUCUCGCUGACGACCGGCGCACGGGUGCGUAACGCGUAUAGAACCUACCUUUUACAGAGGGAUAGUCCGAAGAAAUUUGGCAUAAUACCUCAUAGUAUUACUGAUUGGCAUCGAUUAGUAAUUAAAGCUCCGGCGGUAAGAGAUGGCUAUGCGUCCUAUUAGCUAGUUGGUACGGUAACGGCGUACCAAGGCAACGAUAGGUAGGGGUUCUGAGAGGGAUAUCCCCCACACUGGUACUGAGACACGGACCAGACUCCCACGGGAGGCAGCAGUGAGGAAUAUUGGACAAUGGUGGGAACACUGAUCCAGCCAUGCCGCGUGCAGGAAGACGGCCUUAUGGGUUGUAAACUGCUUUUAUAUGGGAAGAACCGCCGGUACGUGUACUGGUCUGACGGUACCAUAUGAAUAAGCACCGGCUAACUCCGUGCCAGCAGCCGCGGUAAUACGGAGGGUGCAAGCGUUAUCCGGAAUCAUUGGGUUUAAAGGGUCCGUAGGCGGGUUAAUAAGUCAGGGGUGAAAUCUCACAGCUCAACUGUGAAACUGCCUUUGAUACUGUUAGCCUUGAAUGAUAUGGAAGUAGAUAGAAUGUGUAGUGUAGCGGUGAAAUGCAUAGAUAUUACACAGAAUACCGAUUGCGAAGGCAGUCUACUACGUAUUGAUUGACGCUAAUGGACGAAAGCGUGGGGAGCGAACAGGAUUAGAUACCCUGGUAGUCCACGCCGUAAACGAUGGACACUAGUUGUUGGGCGUAAGUUCAGUGACUAAGCGAAAGUGAUAAGUGUCCCACCUGGGGAGUACGUUGGCAACAAUGAAACUCAAAGGAAUUGACGGGGCCC